AAUUCAACGCCAUUCCAUUUCGGUGCUCUUUCUUCGGCUCUGGCAUCUUUGUUCCUUCUUUCAACUUCACAAUUCCGGUUCCGGUUUGGUUUUUCACCAAAGAUUUCACGGAUGCUUCAUCCAUAUCCCAGGCUCGCCCGACAAACUCAGCAGAAAAACCAGUGAAGAUUCCAUUAGCGCCGGUUAGGAAGAAGUCAGUAAACUCACCUGAUUUGUGAGCCUUUGAUGUGUCGCCUAAGAACAAAACCACCAAUUCGGUAGCUUCUUUGUUGAACCACCACGUCACCACGCCAAAUGGAAGAGCAAUUGCAUCUCCUUUCUUGAUUGCGAUCACCUUCUCCUCCUUUUCUGGCAGAAUGAUUCCGGCUACUCCAUUACCUUGAAGAACAUAAGCGACUUUAGCGGAAUCAGAAUAACGAGGGAGAGCAAAGCCAUUCUUCUCGAGAGCAAGUUUGG
This 456-nucleotide unclassified non-coding RNA is filed under the name Hevea brasiliensis (rubber tree). Lineage: Eukaryota; Viridiplantae; Streptophyta; Magnoliopsida; Malpighiales; Euphorbiaceae. The record is from RNAcentral.